Non-coding RNA from Pelobates cultripes (western spadefoot toad), 325 nucleotides. The record is from the annotation of a GenBank genome assembly. Lineage: Eukaryota; Metazoa; Chordata; Amphibia; Anura; Pelobatidae.
CACCCACAGACAUACACAGCACCAACACACAUACAGCACCCACACACACAUACAGCACCCUCACAAACACACACAGCACCCUCACACACAGCACACAAACAGCACCCUCACACACACACAGCACACUAACAGUACCCUCACAAACACAAACAGGACAUUAACAAACACACACACAGCACACUACCAGUACCCUCACACACAAACAGCACCCUCACAAGCGCACACACACACACACAAACAGCACCCUCACACACAGUACAUUAACAGCAUCCUCACAAGCACGCACACACAAACACCCUCACCCACAUAGCACACUACCAGCACC